Long non-coding RNA from Passer domesticus (house sparrow), 394 nucleotides. RefSeq lists it as uncharacterized. The transcript has 3 exons. NCBI's taxonomy places the organism in Eukaryota, Metazoa, Chordata, Aves, Passeriformes, Passeridae. The record is from RefSeq and is a predicted model, not a curated record.
UUUCAUCAUCCUUGUGUUCAUUGAGGUGUCAAACUCUGCAGUUGUUGAGAGCUUCACCUUCCAGCUCACUGAAGUCUCCCUGAUGCUUGCACAGUCCAGCUGUAGGAAAUUCUCCAGAGCCAGGUGCUUUGCAGUGGCAAACACUUUUUAACUUCAAAGAAGUCAGGGAGAAGCUGAGAGGACAAGGCCACUCCUGCACAGAAACCAACAAAGACAGAGCUCAGAAUAUUUAUGCAGUGGCUCUGGCAAAGCAGACCUACAGAAUUGAAGCAAACAGGAUGAAGUCCAGCUGCCCAAGCAUCAGUCCAGAGCUAUCUGAGAUGUUUAAGGGUGUCCAAGACAUCUGGUUCAGGCUGGCAUAUAUGACAUAAUACUUAUUAAAGACUAAUUUUUU